ACAAAUAAUAUACCACUACUUUUUAUUUGUAAAUCCCACAUAAGUAAGCAAUUCUCAUGGAAGCUUUUCUUGACUUUGGCCACACUCUUGCAUCCACAACCAACUUGUGCUACCAAGUGAACAAACUAUGACUAAAGGACUGUUCUUCCACUUUGCAGCUGCUCCUAUCAGUGACAAAUCAGCGUAUUAGAACAUGCAUGCUGGUUGAUCAUUCUGAUCAAGUCAACAAGCUUCACAACUUACUCAAUGAGGUCGUCCGUGAGAACUUCACUGUUUUACGGGGACAGGAGCUACUUCUUUGCUGAACUGCAUCACGGUUUCAACUGCUGAGGUUUUCUUCAAGCUUUUGCAUUGUUUGGAAUGUGAAAGGCACGGCCGAGACACACUUUGAGGUUCCCACUGCAUUGUUACACCUCCCCCCUCACUUCAGGGCCAGGUAACACCAAGAAGGACGCCAUGAGAGCGAAGGCCAUUGGGUAACCACCCUUUGCUCUCGCGCUGCGCGUCUCCCUGCCAUCAACCGCCACUGGGAGCGGUUGAGGGCGGCCGGCCUCGCGCUGGAACCUUGCCCGCCUCAAGGCUCCUGCGGCGGCGCACGGGGCAGGCCAGGAGCCCGCCCUAGGAGGGCCCCGCUGGAGAUGUGGAAAUGGAGGGACGCGGCACCUGGGCGCUUCCUGGGGCCAGACAACGCCCCCUCAUUGGAACCUCCAUGACCGUGCCUCUGAGAAACCAGCGCGUCUGCGACGAUCACUCCUAAUUUUCGGUAAUACAAACCUGCAGUCCAUGCACUUAGGUAACACCCUUGCUGAAAGGUUUACCUUUGGAGGGUUUAUCCUAAAGCAAAGUAUCCUCGAAUUGCAUGUCUUGCAUUCCCUUUGGAUGGCAUUGAUUUCAUUCCUGCUCAUGCCUUUCAAAAAACAGUAUGCCCUGUUUUCCUACUCAGUCUGGAGGUUCCAUUAAAGAGUAUUUCUGGCAAAGAUUUUUAGACCUGAAAACACACUCCAAAAUAUACUUUCUUCUGACUCCAUUCCCAGAGUUU
This 1039-nucleotide long non-coding RNA is filed under the name Homo sapiens (human). RNAcentral's name for it is "non-protein coding lnc-NUTM2A-1:1". The record is from RNAcentral. Lineage: Eukaryota; Metazoa; Chordata; Mammalia; Primates; Hominidae.